RNAcentral lists this ribosomal RNA (398 nucleotides) under uncultured bacterium. Its description in RNAcentral is "partial 16S ribosomal RNA". It matches the Rfam family "Bacterial small subunit ribosomal RNA", at positions 338 to 733 of the family's 1533-position model. The record is from RNAcentral.
CCUACGGGAGGCAGCAGUGAGGAAUAUUGGUCAAUGGUCGAGAGACUGAACCAGCCAAGCAGCGUGAAGGAUGACGGUCCAAUGUGUCGUAAACCUCUUUUAUCUGGGAAUAAAAUCUUCGACGUGUCGCCGUUUGCAUGUACCUUAUGAAUAAGCAUCGGCUAACUCCGUGCCAGCAGCCGCGGUAAUACGGAGGAUGCGAGCGUUAUCCGGAUUUAUUGGGUUUAAAGGGGGCGGAGGUGGUUUGUUAAGUCAGUUGUGAAAGGCUGGGGCUCAACCCUAGAAUUGCAGUUGAAACUGGCAGUCUCGAGUACGAGAGAGGUAGGCGGAAUGCGUGGUGUAGCGGUGAAAUGCAUAGAUAUCGCGAAGAACUCCGAUUGCGAAGGCAGCACGCUGGA